RNAcentral lists this non-coding RNA (147 nucleotides) under Paracoccus denitrificans. RNAcentral's name for it is "cis2 sRNA". It matches the Rfam family "Ruegeria cis2 sRNA". From Rfam's summary of the family: Cis-encoded. Targets ABC transporter. Lineage: Bacteria; Pseudomonadati; Pseudomonadota; Alphaproteobacteria; Rhodobacterales; Paracoccaceae. The record is from RNAcentral. RNAcentral also lists the same sequence under 1 other name.
GUUGCGCGGCGAGUAGUUGAUGAAGGCAAAGCCGCGCGUCUGGUCGAUGACAUGGAACAGCGGGUUCCACGAGAACAUGUGCAGCAACGCGCUGGGCAUCAGGUUCGCCACGAACAUCUUGCCCGAAAACACCAUGUUGAUGCGCUG